This 467-nucleotide ribosomal RNA is filed under the name uncultured bacterium. RNAcentral's name for it is "partial 16S ribosomal RNA". It matches the Rfam family "Bacterial small subunit ribosomal RNA", at positions 28 to 507 of the family's 1533-position model. The record is from RNAcentral.
GACGAACGCUGGCGGCGUGCUUAACACAUGCAAGUCGAACGGAAAGGCCUCUUUCGGGGGGUACUCGAGUGGCGAACGGGUGAGUAACACGUGAGUAACCUGCCCUUGACUUUGGGAUAACUUCAGGAAACUGGGGCUAAUACCGGAUAGGAGCUCCUGCUGCAUGGUGGGGGUUGGAAAGUUUCGGCGGUUGGGGAUGGACUCGCGGCUUAUCAGCUUGUUGGUGGGGUAGUGGCUUACCAAGGCUUUGACGGGUAGCCGGCCUGAGAGGGUGACCGGCCACAUUGGGACUGAGAUACGGCCCAGACUCCUACGGGUGGCAGCAGUGGGGAAUAUUGCACAAUGGGUGGAAGCCUGAUGCAGCAACGCCGUGUGCGGGAUGACGGCCUUCGGGUUGUAAACCGCUUUCGCUCAUGACGAAGCUUUGUGUGACGGUAGUGGGUAAAGUAGCACCGGCUAACUACGUG